This is a non-coding RNA of Taeniopygia guttata (zebra finch), 629 nucleotides long. The record is from RefSeq and is a predicted model, not a curated record. Lineage: Eukaryota; Metazoa; Chordata; Aves; Passeriformes; Estrildidae.
UUGCAGUGUAAAUUCUGCUGAUGGCUUUCUGUUAGCAAUAUGCAAAGCAAAAUCUGCACCAUAUUUCCUGAUGAAUGAGGAACAGCUGUCUGAGGUGGCUGGGAGAGCACAAAGACAUUCAGUGAGGAGCCCUGACUGAUUUAGCAGGGAGCGUGGAGCAGUUAUUUCACCCAGCUCCUGAGUCAGCUGUGCUUCCCACACUGCUGUGGCAGCUGGCUCCAGGCUGGGAAGCAUCACUAACACCACAAUGAUGUGAUUCUUCCUCUCCAUCCUCUCCAUUGGAGAUAAGGUCAGACUGCUGCACAGAGAUAUCCCACCCACAUUGUGGCUGAUGCAGGAUGUUCUAAUGCAAAGGGAAAAUCAAAAACCUACAGAGAAUUGAAAAAAUCCAAACCAGUCAUCCUGACUGUGGAAACACUGUAAAACACCACCAGGCUCUCACCAGUGUGUACCUACACUGGUUAAACAAGCAUUUUAUGGACAUCAUUUCACCUACUCAAUUGCUUAAUGGUAUAGUUCUCUCAUGGUCCUCCCACUCUUAACUGGGACAACUUAGAAUUUAUAUGGUAAUUAAAUGUACCCCAUUUUAAUUUGCCUUUUUCUAAAAUAUAUAGAUAUGGCACUGCUAA